GAUGAACGCUAGCGGCAGGCUUAACACAUGCAAGUCGAGGGGCAGCAUAAAUAGUAGCAAUACUAUUGGUGGCGACCGGCGGACGGGUGCGUAACGCGUAUACAACCUUCCCUAAACAGGGGGAUAAUCUGGAGAAAUUCGGUCUAAUACCCCAUAACAUCAGAGCAGGCAUCUGUUUUGGUUAAAAUUUCCGGAGGUUUAGGAUGGGUAUGCGUAGCAUUAGCUAGUUGGUGAGGUAACGGCUCACCAAGGCGACGAUGCUUAGGGGGACUGAGAGGUUAACCCCCCACACUGGUACUGAGGCACGGACCAGACUCCUACGGGAGGCAGCAGUGAGGAAGAUUGGUCAAUGGGCGGAAGCCUGAACCAGCCAUGCCGCGUGCAGGGUGACGGCUCUAUGAGUUGUAAACUGCUUUUGUACGAGAGUAAAGUGGGCUACGUGUAGCCUUUUGAAAGUAUCGUACGAAUAAGGAUCGGCUAACUCCGUGCCAGCCGCCGCCGUAA
RNAcentral lists this ribosomal RNA (504 nucleotides) under uncultured bacterium. Its description in RNAcentral is "partial 16S ribosomal RNA". It matches the Rfam family "Bacterial small subunit ribosomal RNA", at positions 28 to 523 of the family's 1533-position model. The record is from RNAcentral.